This 386-nucleotide ribosomal RNA is filed under the name uncultured bacterium. RNAcentral describes it as "bacterial SSU rRNA". It matches the Rfam family "Bacterial small subunit ribosomal RNA", at positions 28 to 417 of the family's 1533-position model. The record is from RNAcentral.
GACGAACGCUGGCGGCGUGCUUAACACACGCAAGUCGAGCGGUAAGGCCCUUCGGGGUACACGAGCGGCGAACGGGUGAGUAACACGUGGGUGACCUGCCUCUAGCUCUGGGAUAAGCCUGGGAAACUGGGUCUAAUACCGGAUAUGACUCCACGGCGCAUGUUGUGGGGUGGAAAGCCUUGUGUGGCUAGAGAUGGGCCCGCGGCCUAUCAGCUUGUUGGUGGGGUGAUGGCCUACCAAGGCGACGACGGGUAGCCGGCCUGAGAGGGCGACCGGCCACACUGGGACUGAGACACGGCCCAGACUCCUACGGGAGGCAGCAGUGGGGAAUCUUGCGCAAUGGGCGAAAGCCUGACGCAGCGACGCCGCGUGAGGGAUGACGGCCU